AGUGAACGCUGGCGGUAGGCCUAACACAUGCAAGUCGAACGGCAGCACAGGAGAGCUUGCUCUCUGGGUGGCGAGUGGCGGACGGGUGAGGAAUACAUCGGAAUCUGCCCAGUCGUGGGGGAUAACGUAGGGAAACUUACGCUAAUACCGCAUACGACCUUCGGGUGAAAGAGGGGGAUCGCAAGACCUCUCGCGAUUGGAUGAGCCGAUGUCGGAUUAGCUAGUUGGCGGGGUAAUGGCCCACCAAGGCGACGAUCCGUAGCUGGUCUGAGAGGAUGAUCAGCCACACUGGAACUGAGACACGGUCCCGACUCCUACGGGAGGCAGCCGGGGGGAAUAUUGGACAAUGGGGGGAAGCCUUAUCCAGCCAUACCGGGUGGGUGAAGAAGGCCUUCGGGUUGUAAAGCCCUUUUGUUGGGAAAGAAAUCUUUCAGGCUAAUACCCUGGGAGGAUGACGGUACCCAAAGAAUAAGCACCGGCUAACUUCGUG
Molecule: ribosomal RNA, 490 nt
Filed under: uncultured bacterium
Lineage: Bacteria
Description: partial 16S ribosomal RNA
Rfam family: Bacterial small subunit ribosomal RNA
Source: RNAcentral